This is a long non-coding RNA of Ailuropoda melanoleuca (giant panda), 2383 nucleotides long. RefSeq lists it as uncharacterized. The record is from RefSeq and is a predicted model, not a curated record. NCBI's taxonomy places the organism in Eukaryota, Metazoa, Chordata, Mammalia, Carnivora, Ursidae. The transcript has 9 exons.
CUCAGAGCCACCACUGUCACACUUCCUCCACCUCAGUGCACCCCCGGCAACGGGAAGAGUGAAACUCUCAGCCCUGCAAACUUGUCGCCGCAGCAGGCGCGCGCGAGGCGGCGGUUGCUGCUCAAAUGUGCUCAGAGAGACCUUGUGUGAUCACCAUUCCAAAAGGAACUUUCUACGAGCUAUUUCACCAUGAUGCUACGAGGCAGGUGUUACUAUCCCCAUCUUAAGGAUGAGGACACUGAGGCAGCAGGAGUGAAAUAACCUCUUAAGGCCACUGACUAAUCAAGAAAUCUGAACCUGAUUAUCGCUGCUAGUUACGUGUAUCUUUCUAUAUCUAACUGCAGUCCUUAGAGGGCAGAAACUGGUUAGAGGAUGCCUCUCACAGAUAUUUCAUUGGUACGUUCUAAGUGCUGGUGCUGUACUAUACUUGAGGACACAGAGAUGAACAAGGAGACACGGUACUUUUCCUUAAGAGGAUAUCACACUAGUGGGUGAGACAGACCUUAAACAGAUCACUUCAUCACACCCUUGGCAUUACAAUUGUGGUGGCUUCCAGGUACCUGCCAUUUAAAUGAGGAAAAGUGUGCCAAACCUACAAGGCAGGAACUUCGUCAGUCUGAAAACCUGUGUCCAGACAAGAACUGUGUUCUGAUGUCUGAAAUGAAGGCAUUGGAAGGGCAUACUCUCUCUGAAGGCCUCGGGGAGGAUCCUUCCUUGCCACUUCAAGCUUUUGGUGACUGCUGGCAAUCCUAGGCAUUCCUUGUUUUGUGGCUUCAUAACUCCAAACUCUAUUUCCAUCUUCAUGUGGCUGCCUUUCCUGUGUCUGUGUCUAAAUUUGCCUAGUUUUAGAAGAACAUCAGUCAUAAAGUUACUGCUGGAGAUGUAUAUGAUUUUCAGAAGAUAACCCUGAAGAUUAUAGUUUCAUUGACCUCUAGGACAUUAACCAGUCAGAGGAAAGCAUGUACACAGUCCCCUACCAACAGAAAUUGUGCAGCCGAGUUCCCCGUGCUUGGGGAAAUCAAGGGCUCAGGAUGACCUGAGUGAAAGGACGAGCUUCACCCUGAGAGUACCACCUUCGUGAUCAUGCUAUCUCCCCCACCAGUUAUGGCAUCUAGAAGAGUCCCUUGUGACCAUUUAACUUAAGAAGAAAAAAAAGAAGCAGCAGCAGCCUGGUUCCCAGAAGGUUCUGCAUGACAUACAUGAUGGUACUGGCCAGAAGUGGACUGUUACAAUGUUAUACACACUCAGUUGGUUGCAGGAGGUCUGGAUAAGAAGUAUAUCGAUGGACCCCUAAGCAAAUAUUUCUGUGUCCAUGUGAAUGCAAAGCAAAAUACACCUGCCAAAAGGAAGCUUUCAAAAACCUAGAUGGAUAUAGAAUUGCAAGGGACCCAGAAUAGCCAAAACCAUCUUGAAAAAGAACAAAGUAGGAGAGCUCACACUUUCCAAUUUCAAAACUUGCUACAAAGCAACAGUAAUCAAGACAGGGUGGGGGGGCACCUGGGUGGCUCGGUCAGUUAAGUGCCUGCCUUCAGCUUAGGUCAUGAUCCUGGGGUCCUGGGAUGGAGCCGGGCAUCGGGCUCCCGGCUUAACGGGAAGUCUCUCCCUCUCCCUCUGCCACUUUACCCCACUCUUUCUCUCUCUCUCAAAUGAAUAGAUAAAAUCCUAAACAAAACAAAACAGACAGUGUGGUACUGGCAUGAGGAAAGACAUAGAUCAUUGGAAUCAAACUGAAAAUUUAGAAGUAAACCCACAGGUCUAUGAUCAACUUGUUUUCACCAAGAGCACCAAGAUCAUUCAAGGGUAAAAGAAUAGCCUUUUCAACAAAUGACACUGGACAACUGGAUAGCCAUUUAUGAAAGAAUGAAGGUGGACACUUACCUCACACCAUACACAAAAAUAAACUCAAAAUGGAUCAAAUACCUAAAUGUAAGAGCUAAAACUAUAAAAUUCUUUUUAAGAAAACUUGAGAUAAACCUCCAUAGCCUUAUAUUUGGCAAAAGAUUUUUAGAUAUUACCAAAAGCAUGAGCAACAGGGAAAAAAUAGAUUGGACUUCAUCAAAAUUAAAAACUUUUGUGCUUCAAAUCACUUCAUCAAGAAAGUGAAAAGAUAAACCACAGAAUGGGAGAAAAUAUUUGAAAAUCAUAUAACUGACUAAGGUCUGGUAUCCAUAAUAUAUCAAGAACUCUUACAACUUAAUAGUAAAAAGACAAACAAUCCAACUUAAAAAUGGGUGAAUGAUCUAAAUAGAUAAUUCUCCAAGAGAGAUAUACAAAUGGCCAAUAAACGUAUGAAAAGAUACUCAACACUAUUAAUCCUCAGGGAAAUGCAAAUCAAAAACCACAUGAGGAAGGCACCUAAGUGGCUCAGUCGGCUAAGUGUCUG